GACGAACGCUGGCGGCGUGCUUAACACAUGCAAGUCGAACGGAAAGGCCCUGCUUUUGUGGGUUGCUCGAGUGGCGAACGGGUGCGUAACACGUGAGUAACCUGCCCUUGACUUUGGGAUAACUUCAGGAAACUGGGGCUAAUACCGGAUAGGAGCUCCUGCUGCAUGGUGGGGGUUGGAAAGUUUCGGCGGUUGGGGAUGGACUCGCGGCUUAUCAGCUUGUUGGUGGGGUAGUGGCUUACCAAGGCUUUGACGGGUAGCCGGCCUGAGAGGGUGACCGGCCACAGUGGGACUGUGAUACGGCCCAGACUCCUACGGGAGGCAGCAGUGGGGAAUAUUGCACAAUGGGCGGAAGCCUGAUGCAGCAACGCCGCGUGCGGGAUGACGGCCUUCGGGUUGUAAACCGCUUUCGCCUGUGACGAAGCGUGAGUGACGGUAAUGGGUAAAGAAGCACCGGCUAACUACGUG
This 468-nucleotide ribosomal RNA is filed under the name uncultured bacterium. RNAcentral's name for it is "partial 16S ribosomal RNA". It matches the Rfam family "Bacterial small subunit ribosomal RNA", at positions 28 to 507 of the family's 1533-position model. The record is from RNAcentral.